RNAcentral lists this ribosomal RNA (253 nucleotides) under uncultured bacterium. RNAcentral's name for it is "partial 16S ribosomal RNA". It matches the Rfam family "Bacterial small subunit ribosomal RNA", at positions 524 to 776 of the family's 1533-position model. The record is from RNAcentral.
UACGUAGGCAGCAAGCGUUGUUCGGAGUUACUGGGCGUAAAGGGCGUGUAGGCGGUUGCUUAAGUUUGGUGUGAAAUCUCCCGGCUCAACUGGGAGGGUGCGCCGAAUACUGAGUGACUCGAGUGCGGGAGAGGAAAGUGGAAUUCCUGGUGUAGCGGUGAGAUGCGUAGAUAUCAGGAGGAACAUCGGUGGUGUAGACGGCUUUCUGGACCGUAACUGACGCUGAGACGCGAAAGCGUGGGGAGCAAACAGG